RNAcentral lists this long non-coding RNA (353 nucleotides) under Prunus persica (peach). Its description in RNAcentral is "long non-coding RNA (PPER_LNC007630)". The record is from RNAcentral. Lineage: Eukaryota; Viridiplantae; Streptophyta; Magnoliopsida; Rosales; Rosaceae.
AAACGUUGUAGAUAUCUUUUGGGGACUGCUAGGCUAAGUUUCACAAAUAUCUUUUUUUUUUUCAAGACUGACUGGAUACUUAAUCAUGUCAGACUAGGAUCCUUAAUUAAAUGGGAAACCGCCAAGGCAUAUAUUGAAAGAAAACAAAAGGGAAUAAAAAAAGAAAGCAACAACCCAUAUUCCCAAAAGAGCCCAGCGAGGAAGUAGUGCUCAAAGUGAGAAAGUUGAGAAAAAGUUGAGAAAAAAAAAAGGGAAUAAAAAAAGAAAGCAACAACCCAUCCCCAAAUUUUUCCCAUGCAAUGUAGUAUUUUUAUGUUAUGCUACGUGUAUAUUUGAGAAAAUUUUGUUUUUAC